This 158-nucleotide non-coding RNA is filed under the name Pseudothioclava arenosa. RNAcentral describes it as "6S / SsrS RNA". It matches the Rfam family "6S / SsrS RNA". Rfam says of the family: E. coli 6S RNA was the first non coding RNA to be sequenced, but its function was unknown until recently. It consists of 184 nucleotides that fold into an extended hairpin structure with a large single-stranded internal bulge. Lineage: Bacteria; Pseudomonadati; Pseudomonadota; Alphaproteobacteria; Rhodobacterales; Paracoccaceae. RNAcentral also lists the same sequence under 1 other name. The record is from Rfam by way of RNAcentral.
CGGUUACUGCUCUGUGCGUGCAAGGCCCUUUUCCAGUGGCCGAUAAGCAUUUCCGAGGGGGCUGGCUCUGUCGAGAUCCUGGUCUCGUUACCCGGCUCCCACCUGAUUUAGUCAGGCUCUCGGGAAAUUCACGCCUUCACGGCUGCUGCGGUUUCCGC